UCAAGCGACUAAGUGCAUAUGGUGGAUGCCUUGGCGAUCACAGGCGAUGAAGGACGUAGUAGCCUGCGAAAAGCUACGGGGAGCUGGCAAACAAGCUUUGAUCCGUAGAUGUCCGAAUGGGGAAACCCACUGCAGCAAUGCAGUAUCCCUAGCUGAAUACAUAGGCUAGUGGAAGCGAACCGGGUGAACUGAAACAUCUCAGUAGCUCGAGGAAAAGAAAUCAACCGAGAUUCCGAAAGUAGUGGCGAGCGAAAUCGGAAGAGCCUUUACGUUUUAGCAUGCAAGAUAAUCGAAGGGGAUGGAAAGCCCCGCCGUAGCAGGUGAUAGCCCUGUAGAUGAAAUUUUGUGUGUGGAACUAAGCGUAAGAAAAGUAGGGCGGGACACGUGAAAUCCUGUUUGAAGAUGGGGGGACCAUCCUCCAAGGCUAAAUACUCGUGAUCGACCGAUAGUGAACCAGUACCGUGAGGGAAAGGCGAAAAGAACCCCGGAAGGGGAGUGAAAUAGAUCCUGAAACCGUAUGCAUACAAACAGUAGGAGCCUCCUUGUGGGGUGACUGCGUACCUUUUGUAUAAUGGGUCAGCGACUUACAUUCAGUGGCAAGGUUAACCGAAUAGGGAAGCCGUAGCGAAAGCGAGUCCGAAUAGGGCGAUUCAGUCGCUGGGUGUAGACCCGAAACCAGAUGAUCUAUCCAUGGCCAGGUUGAAGGCACGGUAACACGUGCUGGAGGACCGAACCCACUAAUGUUGAAAAAUUAGGGGAUGAGCUGUGGAUAGGGGUGAAAGGCUAAACAAAUCUGGAAAUAGCUGGUUCUCUCCGAAAACUAUUUAGGUAGUGCCUCAAGUAUUACUGCGGGGGGUAGAGCACUGUUAUAGCUAGGGGGUCAUGGCGACUUACCAAACUAUGGCAAACUCCGAAUACCCGCAAGUACAGCUUGGGAGACAGAGCACCGGGUGCUAACGUCCGGACUCAAGAGGGAAACAACCCAGACCGCCAGCUAAGGUCCCGAAUUAUCGCUAAGUGGGAAACGAAGUGGGAAGGCAUAGACAGUCAGGAGGUUGGCUUAGAAGCAGCCAUCCUUUAAAGAAAGCGUAAUAGCUCACUGAUCGAGUCGUCCUGCGCGGAAGAUGUAACGGGGCUAAGCGAUAAACCGAAGCUGCGGGUGUGCACUUUUAGUGCACGCGGUAGGAGAGCGUUCUGUAAGCCUGCGAAGGUGGCUUGUAAAGGCUGCUGGAGGUAUCAGAAGUGCGAAUGCUGACAUGAGUAGCGAUAAAGGGGGUGAAAAGCCCCCUCGCCGUAAGUCCAAGGUUUCCUGCGCAACGUUCAUCGGCGCAGGGUGAGUCGGCCCCUAAGGCGAGGCAGAGAUGCGUAGCUGAUGGGAAACUGGUUAAUAUUCCAGUACCGUCGUACAGUGCGAUGGGGGGACGGAUCGCGGAAGAUCAUCAGGGUGUUGGAUGUCCCUGUUGCUGCAUCGAAGAUGGCGCUUAGGCAAAUCCGGGCGCGUAAAUCAAGGGUGUGGCACGAGCGAGCAUUGCUUGCGAAGUGAUUGGAAGUGGUUCCAAGAAAAGCCUCUAAGCUUCAGCUGUACGAGACCGUACCGCAAACCGACACAGGUGGACGGGAUGAAUAUUCCAAGGCGCUUGAGAGAACUCAGGAGAAGGAACUCGGCAAAUUGAUACCGUAACUUCGGGAGAAGGUAUACCCCGGUAGUGUGAAGCGCCUGCGCGCUUAGCAUGAUGGGGUCGCAGAGAAUCGGUGGCUGCGACUGUUUAUUAAAAACACAGCACUCUGCAAAGACGAAAGUCGACGUAUAGGGUGUGACGCCUGCCCGGUGCCGGAAGGUUAAGUGAUGGGGUGCAAGCUCUUGAUCGAAGCCCCGGUAAACGGCGGCCGUAACUAUAACGGUCCUAAGGUAGCGAAAUUCCUUGUCGGGUAAGUUCCGACCUGCACGAAUGGCGUAACGAUGGCCACACUGUCUCCUCCUGAGACUCAGCGAAGUUGA
RNAcentral lists this ribosomal RNA (1999 nucleotides) under soil metagenome. RNAcentral's name for it is "bacterial LSU rRNA". It matches the Rfam family "Bacterial large subunit ribosomal RNA", at positions 3 to 2045 of the family's 2925-position model. The record is from RNAcentral.